Molecule: ribosomal RNA, 285 nt
Filed under: Triticum aestivum (bread wheat)
Lineage: Eukaryota; Viridiplantae; Streptophyta; Magnoliopsida; Poales; Poaceae
Description: partial small subunit ribosomal RNA
Source: RNAcentral
AUGGUUCCUCCAGAGCCUCUAGAACUAAAAGGAGACAAGAAGAUGGAAAGAGUCGCAGCCGGCGCUCCUUUCACCUGGAUUGCAUGAAACUUUGUGAAUUUCCCUAAGGAUGCUAAUGAUGACCAGGUCAAGACAUAUUCUCGUGUCUACAUGUGGUACAUUAUAUCCAGGACUAUGUUUGUUGACGCCUCAGGCAAGAAUGCGCCAUGGAUGUGGCUGAAGGCGUUGACCGUCUUUGAUAGCAAAUGGAGUUGGGGUUUAGGCGACACUGGCUUACUUAUAUAG